RNAcentral lists this ribosomal RNA (927 nucleotides) under uncultured Bacillota bacterium. Its description in RNAcentral is "bacterial SSU rRNA". It matches the Rfam family "Bacterial small subunit ribosomal RNA", at positions 58 to 976 of the family's 1533-position model. Lineage: Bacteria; Bacillati; Bacillota. The record is from RNAcentral.
CAAGUCGAACGGGACUGAGGCCGCAAGGUUUCAGUUCAGUGGCGAAAGGGCGAGUAAUACAUCGAUCAUCUACCCCAGGGACCGGAACAACACUUGGAAACGAGUGCUAAUGCCGGAUGGUCCAGCAAUGGUAAACGGCGGGGACCGCAAGGCCUGCCGCCCAGGGAGGAGUCGAUGGCCUAUCAGCUUGUUGGUGAGGUAACGGCUCACCAAGGCGAAGACGGGUAGCCGGACUGAGAGGUUGGUCGGCCGCACUGGGACUGGGACACUGCCCAGACUCCUACGGGAGGCUGCAGUCGAGGAUCUUCCGCAAUGGGGGCAACCCUGACGGAGCGACGCCGCGUGCAGGAUGAAGGCCUUCGGGUCGUAAACUGCUGUCACACGUUAUGAACAAGUGUGGACUAAUACUCCACACCCUGACAAAGGCGUGAAAGGAAGCCACGGCUAACUUCGUGCCAGCAGCCGCGGUAAGACGAAGGUGGCAAGCGUUGCUCGGAUUUACUGGGCAUAAAGCGCGCGUAGGUGGUCCUGCAAGCGGAGGAUGAAAGCCCAUGGCUCACCCAUGGAAUUGUCCUUCGGACUGCAGGGCUGGAGGACGGGAGGGGAGAAUGGAAUUCCCGGUGUAGCGGUGAAAUGCGUAGAUAUCGGGAGGAACGCCGGUGGCGAAAGCGAUUCUCUGGCCCGUUCCUGACACUGAGGCGCGAAAGCUAGGGGAGCAAACAGGAUUAGAUACCCUGGUAGUCCUAGCUGUAAACGAUGGGCACUGGGUAGAAGGGGGUGUCGAUACUCUCUCUGCCGAAGCAAAUGUGUUAAGUGCCCCGCCUGGGGAGUACGGUCGCAAGGCUAAAACUCAAAGAAAUUGACGGGGGCUCACACAAGCGGUGGAGCAUGUGGGUUCAAUUCGAAGCACCGCGAAGAACCUUACCC